UACGGAGGGUGCAAGCGUUGCUCGGAAUUAUUGGGCGUAAAGGGUAGGUAGGUGGUCUCAUUUGUCUGGGGUGAAAGCCUUGAGCUUAACUCAAGAAGUGCCUCAGAAACGGUGAGACUAGAGUCCUGGAGAGGGUCGUGGAAUUCCCGGUGUAGCGGUGAAAUGCGUAGAGAUCGGGAGGAACACCUGAGGCGAAGGCGGCGACCUGGACAGGCACUGACACUCAACUACGAAAGCGUGGGGAGCAAACAGG
This 253-nucleotide ribosomal RNA is filed under the name uncultured bacterium. Its description in RNAcentral is "partial 16S ribosomal RNA". It matches the Rfam family "Bacterial small subunit ribosomal RNA", at positions 524 to 776 of the family's 1533-position model. The record is from RNAcentral.